GAGCUGCCGGUGGUCGGCGGCGCCGGCGUGCUCCGCGGCGCCGCCGGGUACGGCCUCCUCAGGACGCACUCCUUCAACGCCACCACCAACAACGCCGUCCUGCAGAUCGACUUGUACCUCAGCGUGUAGAAGAUCGACUACAAGUUCUUGCACACGAUCUUAAUUGCGCUUACCGUGUACUUACCGACUACAAGUUACUCAAAGGUGUUGAUUCCAUAUAUUUUCAUUCCACGGAGGAGGAAGAAUUUGUCGGUUUUAAAUGAAUUAGCACAUAUGAGUCAAUA
Molecule: long non-coding RNA, 284 nt
Filed under: Oryza sativa (Asian cultivated rice)
Lineage: Eukaryota; Viridiplantae; Streptophyta; Magnoliopsida; Poales; Poaceae
Description: long non-coding RNA (OSAT_LNC001939)
Source: RNAcentral